AUACGGAGGAUCCGAGCGUUAUCCGGAUUUAUUGGGUUUAAAGGGUGCGCAGGCGGGAGAUUAAGUCGGCGGUGAAAUUUUGCAGCUCAACUGUAAAAGUGCCUUCGAAACUGGUUUCCUUGAGUGUAGAUGAAGUAGGCGGAAUUUGUGGUGUAGCGGUGAAAUGCAUAGAUAUCACGAGGAAAUCCGAUUGCGCAGGCAGCUUACUAAACUACUACUGACGCUCAGGCACGAAGGCGUGGGGAUCAAACAGGAUUAGAUACCCUGGUAGUCCACGCAGUAAACGAUGAUUACUAGCUGUUUGCGAUACAAUGUAAGCGGCUGAGCGAAAGCGUUAAGUAAUCCACCUGGGGAGUACGUUCGCAAGAAUGAAACUUAAAGGAAUUGACGGGG
RNAcentral lists this ribosomal RNA (393 nucleotides) under uncultured bacterium. Its description in RNAcentral is "partial 16S ribosomal RNA". It matches the Rfam family "Bacterial small subunit ribosomal RNA", at positions 523 to 918 of the family's 1533-position model. The record is from RNAcentral.